This 297-nucleotide unclassified non-coding RNA is filed under the name Hevea brasiliensis (rubber tree). The record is from RNAcentral. Lineage: Eukaryota; Viridiplantae; Streptophyta; Magnoliopsida; Malpighiales; Euphorbiaceae.
GUUUGAGCUCUGUAUCUGAUGAUCAGUUUGGCGAUAAAGCUGUCUCAACCACCCUUUCAUCAUCCUCUCACGACUCCUUUAUUAGGAUAUCUACACCAAAUACUUUAACUUGCAACAUGUCUACUGUAGAUAGUAGCAUGCAUGUAAGUAUUGGAAGCUCUAGUCCUUUGCCUCAUCAGCUACAUGACAAACAAAAGACCAGUGGGAAACUGAGCAGCAGAGGAGAAGCUAAUGGUGCUUUGGGUUCCUUUGAGGCCGCUCUUGGCAUUCUGACAAGGACAAAAGAAAGUAUUGGGC